GAUCUGGCGUCGGGUUCGAUUAUUUGUUAAGGGUAUCGACUUCCAAGAACAACAAUUCAAUUCAGAGAGGCACUCCAUUGUGUCCAAGGAUUUUCACCAGUUAGGGCUUCAUUGCCCCCAUAUUUAGGUUCCUUUUGGAAGAGGAGUAGAUUAUCUCAUCCUCAGCAAGAAUGCAAGACAGAAUCUUGAGAUGGAACUCUUGGAAGAGGAGGAGAUUGCAAGUACUGUAUUUAGCAAUAGCUCUGCAGAUGGAACUAAACAAAGUAGAUGUAGAUCUGCAAUCUUCAGCAGGUUGAGGUCCCCGGGCUGUUUCGUUCUUUAUUAUGCGUAUGAGUUUUUCAUUGUGUACUUCAGGGAUCAUUUUCAAAUUUCAAUGUCAAUGGGCACAUGGGCAACAUGCGUGUAUGCAAAUGUCCACACCUACUGAGGUCGGUUUUGUUUUGUCUUCCUAAUCUCAUUGUUUUGUUUUAUACUUGUCGGCAUCAUGAAUGAGUACAUUACAUUUUAGAGCUGGAGGUUGCUUUCUCCAUUGUACUUGUAUCUCCAAGACUUCAUGUAGCAAACCUGCAUGCUCUUGUAGAGGCUCAAUUCACCAUUAGCCGCAAACAAAAGGGGG
Molecule: long non-coding RNA, 616 nt
Filed under: Triticum aestivum (bread wheat)
Lineage: Eukaryota; Viridiplantae; Streptophyta; Magnoliopsida; Poales; Poaceae
Description: long non-coding RNA (TAES_LNC014881)
Source: RNAcentral